UCUAAUAUGGCAGAUUAGUGCAAUGGACUUAAACCCCAUAUAUGAAGAUUAUUCUUUUUUAGAA
This 64-nucleotide transfer RNA is filed under the name Podagrica fuscipes. Its description in RNAcentral is "tRNA-Leu". Lineage: Eukaryota; Metazoa; Arthropoda; Insecta; Coleoptera; Chrysomelidae. The record is from RNAcentral.